This 492-nucleotide long non-coding RNA is filed under the name Equus asinus (donkey). RNAcentral describes it as "lncRNA (ENSEASG00005025031.1)". The record is from RNAcentral. Lineage: Eukaryota; Metazoa; Chordata; Mammalia; Perissodactyla; Equidae.
AUGACUUGGUUUAUUGAACCAAUAUUUUGUGGGAUUAUCUUGUCACGUUAUUACACUCAUGAGAAGGAUUAUUUUUUUUACCAGUCUAAAAGGAGUCAUGUUCUUGUCUGGUGGUGGUUGUGUAAUUGAAGUAAAAAAAAAAAAAAAAAAAAAAAACUCAUUGAAGUAGAGAACAGCAAAGUCUUGAAGGCGAAAUAUUUCUAUUCAAAAUCGGAAAAACCUUGGUUACUUUAUGCAUACAGCAGUUUGAACAGACUGCCUCGAAUGGGUGUCAUCUUUCAUCUUUAACUUGUCAGGUCCUCCCCACCCCAACACAACUCCCCUGGCUCCACCUUGGACUUCCAUAAUGUCGGAGCAUGGAGACUGUGGGGAGAGAUGAAAAUUGGACUCAGUUUAACGACUUGCUUCAGGUGAUAUAACCAGAAAAUGAAGAAAUCAUAUUUGAGCCCAGAUUUUGUGAUUUUUAGAAAAGAUUCUAAUAACACAAGAAUG